This 484-nucleotide ribosomal RNA is filed under the name uncultured bacterium. RNAcentral's name for it is "partial 16S ribosomal RNA". It matches the Rfam family "Bacterial small subunit ribosomal RNA", at positions 30 to 507 of the family's 1533-position model. The record is from RNAcentral.
AUUGAACGCUGGCGGCAGGCCUAACACAUGCAAGUCGAGCGGAUGAAGGGAGCUUGCUCCUGGAUUCAGCGGCGGACGGGUGAGUAAUGCCUAGGAAUCUGCCUGGUAGUGGGGGAUAACGUCCGGAAACGGGCGCUAAUACCGCAUACGUCCUGAGGUAGAAAGUGGGGGAUCUUCGGACCUCACGCUAUCAGAUGAGCCUAGGUCGGAUUAGCUAGUUGGUGGGGUAAAGGCGUACCAAGGCGACGAUCCGUAACUGGUCUGAGAGGAUGAUCAGUCACACUGGAACUGAGACACGGUCCAGACUCCUACGGGAGGCAGCAGUGGGGAAUAUUGGACAAUGGGCGAAAGCCUGAUCCAGCCAUGCCGCGUGUGUGAAGAAGGUCUUCGGAUUGUAAAGCACUUUAAGUUGGGAGGAAGGGAAGUAAGUUAAUACAUUGCUGUUUUGACGUUACCAACAGAAUAAGCACCGGCUAACUUCGUG